CAGGUAGGAUUACCCGCUGAACUUAAGCAUAUCAAUAAGCGGAGGAAAAGAAACUAACAAGGAUUCCCCUAGUAACUGCGAGUGAAGCGGGAAAAGCUCAAAUUUAAAAUCUGGCAGUCUUUGGCUGUCCGAGUUGUAAUCUAGAGAAGUGCUAUCCGCGCUGAACCGUGCAC
RNAcentral lists this ribosomal RNA (173 nucleotides) under Thaxterogaster sp. HL456. Its description in RNAcentral is "partial 28S ribosomal RNA". It matches the Rfam family "Eukaryotic large subunit ribosomal RNA", at positions 12 to 182 of the family's 3401-position model. RNAcentral also lists the same sequence under 1 other name. The record is from RNAcentral. Lineage: Eukaryota; Fungi; Basidiomycota; Agaricomycetes; Agaricales; Cortinariaceae.